GGAGCAUGUGGCUUAAUUUGACUCAACGCGGGAAAUCUUACCGGGUCCGGACACACUGAGGAUUGACAGGCAAUAUUAUAACGCACUCCCUUCGUGGUGCUGUGUUAUAUGUUAAAUAUGCUAGUCCUUUCAUGAUUAUGUGAUAGGUGGUGCAUGGCCGUUCUUAGUUCGUGGAGUGAUCUGUCUGCUUAAUUGCGUUUCACUAAGAACCUAUACAUUUACGUGUGUUGCAGCACUUUGACCCCUUACACUCGUGUAAGCUGCGUGUCUUAGUUUUUGCUUGCUCGCACAAUUAGGUUCUGAAAGCAACGAACGUGACCGCAACCUCUUGUUGCCUUUUAAUACCAAACAUCGCACCUCGCGUGCGUUGCAAAAAGGCUUUUUAAACUAGAGGGACCGCUGUUACUUUCUUAAACCAGAGGAAGGUUGCGGCAAUAACAGGUCUGUGAUGC
Molecule: ribosomal RNA, 452 nt
Filed under: Nonionella sp. T7
Lineage: Eukaryota; Foraminifera; Rotaliida; Nonionidae
Description: SSU rRNA
Rfam family: Eukaryotic small subunit ribosomal RNA
Source: RNAcentral